CACCCAGAGUCGGAGACAGUUCACCUAUUCAUCCCUGCGCUUGCGGUGGGAGCCAUCAUUGGAAAACAGGGUCAACACAUCAAACAGCUGUCACACUUCGCCGGAGCUUCAAUCAAGAUUGCCCCUGCAGAAGGAAUGGAUGCCAAACAGAGGAUGGUCAUCAUCAUAGGACCACCAGAGGCUCAGUUUAAGGCUCAGUGUCGCAUCUUUAGCAAACUGAAGGAAGAGAAUUUCUUUGGACCCAAGGAAGAGGUGAAGCUGGAGGCACACAUCAAGGUUCCUUCCUAUGCUGCUGGACGAGUCAUCGGGAAGGGUGGAAAAAC
Plectropomus leopardus (leopard coralgrouper) is the source of this 323-nucleotide non-coding RNA. The record is from RefSeq and is a predicted model, not a curated record. NCBI's taxonomy places the organism in Eukaryota, Metazoa, Chordata, Actinopteri, Perciformes, Serranidae.